CCCGCUGAACUUAAGCAUAUCAAUAAGCGGAGGAAAAGAAACUAACAAGGAUUCCCCUAGUAACUGCGAGUGAAGCGGGAAAAGCUCAAAUUUAAAAUCUGUCAGUCUUUGGCUGUCCGAGUUGUAAUCUAGAGAAGUGUUAUCCGCGCUGGACCGUGUACAAGUCUCCUGGAAUGGAGCGUCAUAGAGGGUGAGAAUCCCGUCUUUGACACGGACUGCCAGGGCUUUUGUGAUGCGCUCUCAAAGAGUCGGGUUGUUUGGGAAUGCAGCUCAAAAUGGGUGGUAAAUUCCAUCUAAAGCUAAAUAUUGGCGAGAGACCGAUAGCGAACAAGUACCGUGAGGGAAAGAUGAAAAGAACUUUGGAAAGAGAGUUAAACAGUACGUGAAAUUGCUGAAAGGGAAACGCUUGAAGUCAGUCGCGUCAUCCAGGGAUCAACCUUGCUUUUGCUUGGUGUACUUUCUGGUUGACGGGUCAGCAUCAAUUUUGACCAUUGGAAAAAGAUUAAGGGAAUGUGGCAUACAUAGUGAUGUGUUAUAGCCCUUGGUUGCAUACAAUGGUUGGGAUUGAGGAACUCAGCACGCCGCAAGGCCGGGUUUUUAUUAACCACGUACGUGCUUAGGAUGUUGGCAUAAUGGCUUUAAUCGACCCGUCUUGAAACACGG
RNAcentral lists this ribosomal RNA (663 nucleotides) under uncultured fungus. RNAcentral's name for it is "eukaryotic LSU rRNA". It matches the Rfam family "Eukaryotic large subunit ribosomal RNA", at positions 24 to 664 of the family's 3401-position model. Lineage: Eukaryota; Fungi. The record is from RNAcentral.